This 71-nucleotide transfer RNA is filed under the name Nanobdellota archaeon. RNAcentral's name for it is "Nanoarchaeota archaeon tRNA-His". It matches the Rfam family "tRNA". From Rfam's summary of the family: Transfer RNA (tRNA) molecules are approximately 80 nucleotides in length. RNAcentral also lists the same sequence under 2 other names. The record is from RNAcentral. Lineage: Archaea; Nanobdellati; Nanobdellota.
GCCGUGGUAGUUUAGUGGUAGAAUGGGAGGCUGUGGCCCUCCAGACCGGGGUUCAAUUCCCCGCCACGGCC